AACGAACGCUGGCGGCAGGCUUAACACAUGCAAGUCGAACGGAUCCUUCGGGAUUAGUGGCAGACGGGUGAGUAACGCGUGGGAACGUACCCUUUGCUACGGAAUAACUUAGGGGAAAUUGAGCUAAUACCGUAUGUGCCAUACGGGGGAAAGAUUUAUCGGCAAAGGAUCGGCCCGCGUUGGAUUAGCUAGUUGGUGGGGUAAUGGCCUACCAAGGCGACGAUCCAUAGCUGGUCUGAGAGGAUGAUCAGCCACACUGGGACUGAGACACGGCCCAGACUCCUACGGGAGGCAGCAGUGGGGAAUAUUGGACAAUGGGCGCAAGCCUGAUCCAGCCAUGCCGCGUGAGUGAUGAAGGUCUUAGGAUUGUAAAGCUCUUUCACCGGUGAAGAUAAUGACGGUAGCCGGAGAAGAAGCCCCGGCUAACUUCGUG
Molecule: ribosomal RNA, 433 nt
Filed under: uncultured bacterium
Lineage: Bacteria
Description: partial 16S ribosomal RNA
Rfam family: Bacterial small subunit ribosomal RNA
Source: RNAcentral